AGUCGAGCGGGCGAGGUUGCUUCGGUAACUGAGCUAGCGGCGGACGGGUGAGUAAUGCUUAGGAAUCUGCCUAUUAGUGGGGGACAACAUUCCGAAAGGAAUGCUAAUACCGCAUACGCCCUACGGGGGAAAGCAGGGGAUCUUCGGACCUUGCGCUAAUAGAUGAGCCUAAGUCAGAUUAGCUAGUUGGUGGGGUAAAGGCCUACCAAGGCGACGAUCUGUAGCGGGUCUGAGAGGAUGAUCCGCCACACUGGGACUGAGACACGGCCCAGACUCCUACGGGAGGCAGCAGUGGGGAAUAUUGGACAAUGGGCGAAAGCCUGAUCCAGCCAUGCCGCGUGUGUGAAGAAGGCCUUUUGGUUGUAAAGCACUUUAAGCGAGGAGGAGGCUACUUAGAUUAAUACUCUAGGAUAGUGGACGUUACUCGCAGAAUAAGCACCGGCUAACUCUGUGCCAGCAGCCGCGGUAAUACAGAGGGUGCGAGCGUUAAUCGGAUUUACUGGGCGUAAAGCGUGCGUAGGCGGCUUCUUAAGUCGGAUGUGAAAUCCCUGAGCUUAACUUAGGAAUUGCAUUCGAUACUGGGAAGCUAGAGUAUGGGAGAGGAUGGUAGAAUUCCAGGUGUAGCGGUGAAAUGCGUAGAGAUCUGGAGGAAUACCGAUGGCGAAGGCAGCCAUCUGGCCUAAUACUGACGCUGAGGUACGAAAGCAUGGGGAGCAAACAGGAUUAGAUACCCUGGUAGUCCAUGCCGUAAACGAUGUCUACUAGCCGUUGGGGCCUUUGAGGCUUUAGUGGCGCAGCUAACGCGAUAAGUAGACCGCCUGGGGAGUACGGUCGCAAGACUAAAACUCAAAUGAAUUGACGGGGGCCCGCACAAGCGGUGGAGCAUGUGGUUUAAUUCGAU
Molecule: ribosomal RNA, 901 nt
Filed under: uncultured bacterium
Lineage: Bacteria
Description: bacterial SSU rRNA
Rfam family: Bacterial small subunit ribosomal RNA
Source: RNAcentral